Molecule: long non-coding RNA, 1838 nt
Filed under: Homo sapiens (human)
Lineage: Eukaryota; Metazoa; Chordata; Mammalia; Primates; Hominidae
Description: PREDICTED lncRNA (TCONS_00044569)
Source: RNAcentral
GGUGAGCUUGCCUGGGGAAUGCGUGGGUGUUUGGAACCCUUGCCUUCCUGCCUAAAGAGUUUCCUGCAAUCAGUUAAGAAAAGCCCCACCACUCCCCCUCCGUCAAUUAACUAGAUAAAUACAUAAAGUCAAGAGGAAACAGUAUUUGUGAUGGUAAAAGGAAUUUUGAUUCACAGUUGGAAUCAAACCUCGUUGACACUGAUCAUGACCUCACCUCUAGCCUGUGUGGUGUUGGGGAGCCAGGGUUAAAGGAAUGUGGAGGCAGCAGGACAUCCUGGAGAGAAUGAAGACUUCAGAGUCAGACAGAGCUAGAUUUGAAGCCAGCUGGCGAACCUCUGUUUUCUCUUCUGUAAAAUGGGUAACUAUAGCACCUACCUGACAGGUUAGCAUCUACAUGAUGGAUAGGUUUCUGUGCAUGGUACAUGGCUGGAGUCCAACAAGAAUUUAUUUCAAGUCUGUCUUUUUCCACUGGAGAUCAUCACUGAGUUGCGGUCUCCUGAGCAGAAAGGGGGUUGGCAGCCGGAGCAUGUGUCUCUCUUGGAACACCCUAGGCUCUGGCAGCACACAGGUUAUGCAAGGCACAACCGGAGGAGGAAGUAACAGGAUCCUAGCAGUGACUGUUGUUGGAGAGGGUCAGACCAAGCUAAAGCUUGGAAGGAGAUGCAGCCUGGUUCCAUCUGGAUCUGAAUCAAGGGUCAGAGGGAAGUGUCAAGGCUUGGAAGUCACUAGAGCAUAAGCGCAUGAGGCUGAGAGCAUGUCUGUUUUGUUUGCUGUGGAUUCUCCCAUGCCUAGCGCAGCAUCUGGCAUCAUAGGCAGUGUUUAAAUAUUUAUUGAACAAAUGAAGAAUAAAUGAAUUAGUGACAGCCUUAUCAGUUCAGAGCCUGGUUGUUUCGGGAGUUCCAUUUGAAAACAAGGCAAAGGAGAACAGCUGCUGGCAGGAAACAAAUGUGGGAACCACCAAAGGUUCUGAAGAUACACCAUGUUUAAACGGCUAGAACCUCAACUCUGGAGCCACGUGGCCAGGACUCAAAGCUCUGUCACUUACAAGACAUGGAACCUGGAUCAUGUCACUAAAUCUUUCUGUGCCUUCAUUAUGUUUUUUAUUUUUUAAUUUUUUGCCUAUAACAUGGGGAUAAUAGAACCUACCUCACAGGAUUGUUGAAAGGACCAAAGGAGAUUAUUUGUGUGAAGUGUACACUGUAAGUGCUCAAUAAACACAACUGUUAGUAUUAAUUGAGAGGGAUGUGAAAUUAGCUGUGUUUCCAGAAGUUUUGGCAGGGAAUACACACAGAAUGGAUAGCUUAAAGAGAAACUUCUUAAUAUAGUGAUAGAUUUUAGAGCAUAGAAAGAAAAAAAUAUGGGGAAAAAAACCCUGCAACUAGUUAAGAGUCAUUGCAAUAUCUGGGCAUGAGAGGAUGAGGCCUAGAUUAGGGGACUAGUUGGGGGUCCACAGAGGGAGAGGACCAGUGCAAAACAGAUGGUUCAUGAAGGAGCAAUUGGUAGAACUGAUUGGAUGUGUUGGGGGGAGCAGAAAAUGUAGAACUCCUUUGUGGGUCUGGAAGGAGAUGGUAGCUCUCGAAGAGAUGAGGGAUGUCUAAGAAGGAGCAGGGCUGGUGAAGGAUAAAAAUCCAGUUUGGAAUGUGCUAAGGGGGACAAGGGGUAGCCCGCUUGAAAGAUGCUGUGAAGCUGGACAUGCCCACGCGGAUGGGUGAGAUCUUGGGGUUGGAGGGAGGGCAAGCAGGGGUGGAAGCCAGGGGACAUGUAGGAAGAGACGUGUGGAGGGCACUUCCAGAGAACACCCAUGUUCGGGGGUGGGGAGAGGAAAGACCUCCACCUAG